UUUUUUUUAAUUUUUGAGAUUGAGAUUCAGUUAGAAGAAGGUUUGAAACCGGAACUGCAUAGGGAGCGAGAAAAGCUUUUGGGUGAUCGCAGAAUGAACUGGACUCUGCUUGUGGAUGGGAAACGCAUAUCUGGUCCCAGUCGCAUAUGUGGUCCCAGUCAAAGGAGAGACAUGUCAUCAAUGCAGGUAAACUCAAUACAGACACAAAACUCUUGGCCACCUUACACAUUGCAGCAAAUGCAGGUUGGUCCAAGGCCAACUUUGUGGAGAUUACUUAUACACGAGUUAAUUAUUUUUAUUUUCUACCAUUUUCGUGGUAGUACUAUUUUACUUCCCCAAAACCUAAUCAAGAUUUUGGGUCUAUUUGUAAAGGGGUGGGGAGAAUGUGAACUGAAGUAAACCAAAAUCCCAGUUGGAUUUGUCCUGUUUGUCGUGGAAUUUGCAACUGCAGCUUAUCUACAGAAAAGUUAUACAUUAUAAUA
Non-coding RNA from Theobroma cacao (cacao), 482 nucleotides. The record is from RefSeq and is a predicted model, not a curated record. Lineage: Eukaryota; Viridiplantae; Streptophyta; Magnoliopsida; Malvales; Malvaceae.